CUAUUUUUCCCCCGGUUCAUAUUUGGAGACUAAAAGAGCAAAUAUUUGAGUUGCCAAUUUGAUAUGCGGAAUUUGGCUUGGUUUUCAUUGGCUUCUUUUAGGCACAAAACCAAUCAGGACUUUUUCUUUUGCAGCAUUUAUUUGCUUUCUGUGUUUCUGCCUUCUCAUUGUUGCAUGUUCCUUUUGAGGAUCCUCGGGUUGCUGAAUUUAUUCAUGAGAAUUUUCCGUCAGGAAAGCCACAUGAUUAGACUGCUUCUGUUGAGUAUACAAGCUUUGGAGAUCAUGUUCAGAAGGCUGAAGGACUCGCUUUUCGCCGAGCUUGUGCCCCUCUUGGUCACUUGCCUUUCAUCGGUAUUUCAUAAUUAACUCAUGUGUAAAGGUACUUCUCUUGACUGGCUUUCUGGCAACAAUGGUGAUGCGUGUGCUCAAAAACGCUUCAUCUCAAGUAAGAUCUGAAAUGUGUAUUCUAUUUUCACACAUGGAUCGUCGCCUUAAAUGUUAGUAAUACGUGAUGUCAUAGGUGCUUACUGUUGAUUAUUCGUGGUGUAGACUUUUGGAGAUAUAUCUUGGUGCGCAGGAACUUGCCCUUCAUUCGUAUUCCAUGAUGUUGAAAUAUUAGCUUUCUUCCAUUUCUUCUUUUGUUGCUUACAAUUAUUAUUUCCGUGGCAGUGACACUGCGUCCCCUACACAAGCAUAGUCCACGCAUUCUGCAAGGCCCGGAGCUGAGAAUGGCGUGCCUAAUUGGUGGGAGAUGAGUAGUCAUUGGUUCACUUGUCAAAUUUUGGGCAUCAACAAUAAUAUGGUCUCAAGUGGAUGUUGCUUGAUGGAUUCGAGUCAUCUUCAACAAGUGGAAGACCCAAGUUGGUUUGCAUCUCUCCUCCUCUUGGAUUGCACGAUCUAUGCAGGACAUUCCCAUCGAGGCAGGGCUAUACAUAUGAAUGAAGCUGGCUCAUGUGAGGUUUCAGUUCAGGGCCUAGGCUAGGAUCCCUGCUUCUAAGAAUGUGGGUUAAUUUCCAGGCACCUUUGCUUUGAUACGGACCUGAUCGUGACCUACAAAUAGAGACUCCAAUCUAAAGGAAUCCGUUCAUUUGUUCGUUCAUGUCGAUUUUGAACUAGAAGAAAACUGCUCUAAUCUAUUUGAAGUCAUGAUUUAACCUAUGUAAAUGUUUCCUCACCUUUGGUAGUCAGUCUCUCUGUACAUUUUUUCCAUAUCCAUUUGAUUCUCUUUGUUUCCUGGUAGAUUUUUUUUAUUUGAAAUUAGUAACCUCUGGCGCAUGGCCCAUUAGCACAUGAUAAUUACUUCCAUUUUGGAAACAGUUUAAACAACAGAGCUCCUGCCAUAUAAACUUGGAGCGACAACAAAACAAGGUCAGUCAUCAUACUUAAAAAGUAGGUGCUUUGCUUAACUGAAAUUAACACGAUCAAUUAGGUUAACCGUCAAAUUUGCUUAACUUGGAGCUGACUACGCUCGUUGCGCAUCUGUGCAUGUACGUGGAGAUAGGGUCCUCAUGGUGGUGACGACUAACGAUGAAGGAGGAAGGGGGCUAGGUGGUGGAGGCGAGGACGGUGGUUCUGGUCGACUGUGCCUGCCCGUCUCCGCGUGGUCUGAGUGGCACUACUACUGUGAUAUGCAAGCACCUCAGGAUGAGUCAGGUUGCAAGCGGGGCGGGAUAUCCCGCUACCCCGCUGGGCCGCCCCGCAAAAUACACCCGCGAAACUCCGCUGGGUCGACCGCUUCGUUUUGGAUGCGCCUUGUGUGUUGGGAUGAGGCCUAAUGAAUGGAUAACUUCCUAAUGACCCUAAAGAUCAACUUCCCAGAAUGAUAUCCAAUGCUCGGAAGGAAGCUCAUCCUAGCAUGCAAGGGCUCGGAAAGGGCACCUGGGGCAAACUCGAGGAUUGGGCCACGGACGCGACGAGUUGGUGAA
Molecule: long non-coding RNA, 1925 nt
Organism: Lolium rigidum
Lineage: Eukaryota; Viridiplantae; Streptophyta; Magnoliopsida; Poales; Poaceae
Exons: 6
Source: RefSeq, a predicted model, not a curated record